CCAUUCAUAUCAUGCUUUGGCUUUGGGGAUUUUUGUUUGUUUAUGUUGGUUAACCGUUUAUGUUUUCCAUAUCGCAUCGCGAUCAAGCCUACACCGGGUCGAUCAAUAAACAUGGCAGAAAAUGAUACUCAGCACGCCAAUUCGACAGAGAAAACUGAAGCAUACUGUAUUUCUGGUAUAAAUCUAGAUGUCAAAGAUGGAGAAAGAGCAAGUGAACUCGACAAAUUCGAAGGAAGCAUCGCCGAGCCCGAAUAUAGAAUGUACAAAUGGAGAUGGUUUGUGGUGGCGACGAUGGCAGUAUUGAAUAUUUCAAAUGCAAUGGCAUGGAUCUGUUUUGCUGCGAUCACAAAUUUCACUGCAGAAUACUUUGAGGUGUCCGUUGAUGCUGUUAACUGGUUUUCUUUGGUUUAUCUAGUUGUAGCCAUACCAAUGGGCUUUGUUGUUGCAUGGGAACUUAAUGCAUAUGGGUUUCGAAUUGCGAUUCUCCUUGGUGCAUGGCUAAAUUUCCUUGGCAUUCUCCUUCGUUAUCUGGGAACAGUCUUCCCAAUCCCACCGUCUUCCCAGUUUGCUGUAGUGAUGGCUGGACAGACCCUCGCAGCUUUUGGACAACCUUUCUUGCUCUUCUCACCUACCAAGAUGGCUGCUCUGUGGUUUAAUGAUAGUCAAAGAACAACAGGAAACAUUCUAGCAACCAUGGCCAAUCCUUUAGGGAUUCUUCUUUCUUUUCUCCUGUCUGCACUUCUUGUCAGUGAACCAAGUGAUGUCCCAUUAAUGCUUUGGGUUUUUGUCAUACCAGCGGCAAUUGGGGUUUGUAUGGCGACAUUUGGUAUAUGCAACAGUGCUCCUCCCACACCCCCAUCGAGCAGUGCAGACACUGAGCAUCAACCAUUUCUGACGGGUCUUAAAAUGCUUGUAAAGAAUCGUCAUUUUGUAAUUCUUUUUGUGACAUUUGGAGGAGGCUUUGGUAUUUUCAAUGCCAUUAGCACAUUCUUAGAGCAAAUUGUGUGCCCCAUCGGAUACAACGAUAAUUUUGCCGGUUUGGUAGGAGCAUUGAUGAUAGGUGUUGGUCUUCUUGGGGCAGUAGUAGCGGGUCUUAUUGUUGACAAGACUAAGGCAUUCACACCAGUCGUCAAAAUUUGUAAUGCAUUAGCCAUUGUCUUUGUAUUCAUCUUGUCUAUUUCUUCCAAGUUUGUGUAUGCUGGUGCUGGAGUUUUGAUUGGAGGCGUAGGCUUUGGUCUCUUUGGUCUAGCCCAAUUCUCUAUCGCUCUAGAGCUCGGGGUAGAGUGUUCCUAUCCAGUAGCUGAGGGAACCAGUGCCUGUAUCUUACAGGUCUCGGGUCAAGUACAGGGAAUCAUUCUCAUCAUUUUAGGUCAGGUCCUUGCCCAACCUAUCAACGUGGACUACCUACCUGAUCAAAAGUGCAUUGACAUGUCACUUGCGAACAUCACAUCAGCGCCACCUACUGAAAGUGCCUUUACAACCUCCAUGGUGCCCACAAUGCCAGAUGAUGAGAUACAAACAGUGCUUGAUAUGACAAGUAAGUAAUUAACCAAAUGAAGUUUGAUAUACAUAUAAUCUAAAGAAACCUAGUUUGAAUAAUUCAAUUGACAUAAAAAAUUUGCCUUUACUAGCUAGAGAAGUAAUAGUAGUAGUAGCAGCAGUAGUAAUAGAAGUAGUAUUAGUCAUAAUAGUAAUACCUUAAUAGUGGUAGUAGUGGUAGUAGUGAUAGAAGUGGUAGUAGUUGUAGUAGUAGUAGAAGUAGUAGUAGAUGUAGCAGCAGUAGUAGUAGUAGUAGUAGUAGUAGUAGUAGUAGCCCAGUAGUAGUAGUAAUAGUAGUAGUAGUAUAGUAGUAGCAGUAGCAGUAGUAGCAGUAGUAGUAGUAGUAGUAGUAGAAGAUAUGUAGCCGUAGUAGUAGUAGUGGCAGUAGUAGUAGUGGUAGUAGUAGUAGUGGUGGUAGUAGUAGUAGUGGUAGUAGAUACUAGUAAGCUAUUGAAGUAGACUUUAUCGAAUAAAUUCAGCACAAGGCUACACAUGUUUACCUAGCACAAGGUCAGUGCUUUUUCCAUAACUAAAAAGCAAAUACACAUCAUUUGCAGGGUUGAACAUUAUUUGAUGAAAUAUAAUCUGUUCUUUUAAAAUACAGUUCCUUUGUUUGUAUAUGCUGGAUAUGGCAUGAUCAUUACAGCGAUCUUAAUCCUCUUCUUCCGAACGAGAUAUCUGAGGCUCGAAGCAGAACAAUCAAAACGAGACCCAUUCGACAAUUCCUCGUGACUGGAGACACAAGAAAAUUAACAAAUAUUUUGACCCGAGGAUUAAAUCUACCUCCUCGGCUCAGGUGAUUUUAUAUGCUUAAUGUAGAAUGAUAAUGGAUGCUUUGAAUGUGAUUUAGAGAGUGUAUAUGUUUCAUUAAUUCAUUAUUUUAGUAUACAUAGUUACACAUAAUCAGUCAACCAUGUUUAUAACAUUAGAAUAUUCUAACAUUAUUAAAUAAUGUUUGGUAAUGAAAUGAGGUAUAGUAAAACCAACACUAAACGCCCCCUAAAAAUAAUGAUAAAAAAGUCACUGUCAGACAGGAAUAGCGUCAGUGACUAGCAUGAUACAAUGGGAAUAUUUAGGUUAAAUAUAACAGAAUAAAUGAUAGAGUAGACUACUAUCGGUUGUCUCGUGAAGCGGUUGAAACUGUAGAGAGUCACAACAUUUCGUUGGCUGCUGCUCAACUUUCUCAAGUGAUGGAGACCUUGGUGCGAGGGCGAAUGUUAUAGCGUGUAAAGAAUAAAUGAUGUACAAAUGCAUUUUAAGACACGGGUUUAAAAGCCUGAUGCCUCGAUCACCAGCUAAGAUGGAUGACCACUGAUAACAUGUUGAUUAGAGGUCUUUGAUUUACUUCAAGAAUCAAGAUUUUGUGCUGGUCAAGAUCCACCAUACCUAUCAGAGAUGGCCUUCCUUAGGGGCAGCUAUUUGAGAGCCAUCAUUAAUGUAUGCCCCUCAUGUGCUUUGAUGUGUUGGUGAUUUUAGCCUACUGUUGUCAGUUAUUUGUCAUUGAUUCAUAAUGUUUGCCUUGCUUGAACAACAUUAAAACUAAGUGAAAGUGUAAUGAUACAUUAACAAUGCACCUUGAUUUUUGAAGAAUUUUUCUUUACAUCACUGCAAUGACCUGAAUACAUAGGAUUUUUUUUUUCAUCUUUCCCUUUCUAUUCUUUUAAUACUUGUAUGUAUAUUGAUGUUGAAAUAUUUGUCCUCUGCUCUUUCAUCACAGGCAAUUUGGAAGUUUCAUUAGAAAUUACAUUUUUAUUAUAAACUUGAAUAUAUAUGAUAAGCAUUCAAAAUUAUUGAUAUAUUAAUGUACAGUAUCCAUCAUAAUUAAAUUAUAUUGUGAAUUAAUAAAUAUCUCUUAUAUAUUGAAAAAAAAAGUAUUUAAUGAAGGCACUGACAGUUUGCCCCUUGCCUAUUUGUCAUUGUAAAAAAAGGUUUACAAAAAAACUCUUGCCUCUGAAUCAAUUAUUCUCAUUGAAGUUAUAUAUAUAUAUAUAUAUGCCUGUUUGAUUAUGCACUUUCAUGAUGUCUAGGACUAGACUAUGAAUUAUGAUAAAAUGCAUCACAAAAGGUUAUAAUUAGCCUUGAGAACAUUCCUUUUUUUUUUCAUUAUUAACUGCGAUACGUUAUAAAUGCUAUCCUUCAUUUGGAUACAAUUUACCUCAUAAAACAUAAAUCAUAUUUGCGUGCAUUUAUACAUUUCUGUGGCGAUUCUGAAAUCUUGUGCAAGUUUUUUUUUAUGUUGCAGUGUACUACCUUGAGAGGUUAUGUUAUUCUUGGUUUGACAAUUGUUUUAUGUAAGUUGAGUUCUACAGAAAUGAUGACUGCUAUAUUGACUUGAAUUUCCAUAUGAUUUUCAUGCUGUCAAAAGUAAGAUAUAUGUGAACUUCUGAAGUCUUGAAUCACAUGAUUAUCUAGGUUUAUACAUGUAUUUGUUAUUUUUAAUUCAUAUAUAGAUCCUACAAGUUGGCUUUCAUUUGUAAAGUAUAAUGGCAAUAUUUUUUUUCUUGAUUAGAACAAAAUGAUGCGACUGUUUUUCAGUAAUGUUAAAGCAAGUUGAUUUCUGUUCAUAUACUAGUUAUAAACAUUUACCCAUUGUAUGAUAUCAUGACAUCACAAUAUAAAGGGGAAAAAAACCUUCUUUGAAGAUAAAGAUUGUAAAAUAUGUGUGCUAACUAGCCACAAGGUAGUCUAUAACAUAGGUAUGUAAUUAUGAAACCAUGUUUAGCUCAUAGCCUCUUACAUUAUUUAUGUAACUUCAAAGUUGUCUGCAAUUUAAUGAUUCAGAUUUUCAGGCAAAUUCAGUGAAAAAAAAAAGGAUUUUACAGCUUAGAGUUCAUCAGGAUAAAAAUCACUAUUAGUUUUACUUUGCAUCUAGUAUAGUUACAAUUCCCUACUGCCAAUCAAAAAUCAAGGAUAUCAAGGAAAUUACUGUUGGAUAGCAAAACAAAAAUAAAUAAAUGUUAUGCAAGAGGACCCUGGUGAUGGUUUUCACAUGCUUUGAACAGCUUUAUAUCAACUACCACUGCAAGUUAGGUGUCAUUUUUUUACAUCAAUGUUUUGUAAACUAGCCGGAUGAAAUAAGCCUUAUAUUUUGUUCUUCAAUGAAUGUCUUUCAUGGUAAUGUUUUUUUUUUCAGGAAUUAAUGAUGCAAUGAUCACAUUCACUCAGGUGUUGAUUGAGAUGAAAAGCUAUCAGUAUUUUUUAGUAUGCAUUGAUUACAACAAAUGACGCGAUUGUUUUUCAGUAAUGUAAAGCAAGUUGAUUUCUGUUCAUAUACUAGUUAUAAACAUUUACCCAUUGUAUGAUAUCAUGAAAUCACAAUAUAUAGGGGGAAAAAAACUUCUUUGAAAGAUAAACAUGGUUUCAUUUUAUUGACAUCAAUUUUUUGUAAACUAGCCGGAUGAAAUAAGCCUUAUAUUUUGUUCUUCAAUGAAUGUCUUUCAUGGUAAUGUUUUUUUUUCUUCAGGAAUUAAUGAUGCAAUGAUCACAUUCACUCAGGUGUUGAUUGAGAUAAAAAGCUUUCAAUACUUUUAAGUAUGCAUGGAUUAGCUGAGAUGAAAGAUGUAUUGCUAUUUACAACAUUAAACCAGUUGAAAGACUUGAUUCAGAUAUUGAUCCUGUUUUUAGUAUUUAUAAAUUCUUCAUAAUUCUUAUGAUAUAAUGAUAAUUGUACAGUUUAUAUUGUGCAAUUCGUUUGUACUCAACUGCCCAUUACAACAUGGUACUUAAAAGGUUAAAUAGAUAACAAGUAAACAAAAGGUAUGAUUAAGUUACACAUUGUAAUUAUGAGGAAAAAGGGAAGCCUACUGGCUGUACAAAGUAUAAUUUUAUAACAAUUAUAUAACAUUAAAUUAUAUAUAACAAUUAUAUUCAUGUAUAUAUGUUGCACAAGUAUAUGUAUUGAUUGGUUAACUGUAACGAUAUGCAAAUUGCUUUUAUAACAUUUAAAGUGAUUAAAAGCUGAUUAAUUUGUGACAUUUAUUGUACUCAGUACUGACUAAAUUAUGACAUUUAUCAUACUCGGACCUUUUUCAAAUAUACCCCUUUCUAUGUUGAAAACCCAUAUGUAUUGUUUAACUUAGAUUAAAGAACCUUUAUCCAGAAGAGUUGAUAAAAGAUAUUCCAUCAGAUUGCUGAUCGACUUAAUGAUAUUCAGUACUAUUUCAUAAUACUUAAUUUAUGCAUUUAUGUCUUUCUCUAUAAUGUCCAAUAAUCAUGUGUAUUAAUUAAUUGCGUGUAUGAAAUAAGAAUUGUUUAUAUACAUUAAAAAUAGUUGAAACAGUAUGUUGAAUGAUAA
Lytechinus pictus (painted urchin) is the source of this 5833-nucleotide RNA transcript. It is a transcript of the gene named solute carrier family 49 member A3-like, with no coding region annotated. The transcript has 9 exons. The record is from RefSeq and is a predicted model, not a curated record. NCBI's taxonomy places the organism in Eukaryota, Metazoa, Echinodermata, Echinoidea, Temnopleuroida, Toxopneustidae.